UACGUAGGGGGCUAGCGUUGUCCGGAUUUAUUGGGCGUAAAGAGCGUGUAGGCGGCCAGGUAGGUCUGCUGUGAAAACUCGAGGCUCAACCUCGAGACGUCGGCGGAAACCAUCUGGCUAGAGUGCGGUAGGGGAGAUCGGAAUUCCUGGUGUAGCGGUGAAAUGCGCAGAUAUCAGGAGGAACACCGGUGGCGAAGGCGGAUCUCUGGGCCGUAACUGACGCUGAGGAGCGAAAGCAUGGGGAGCGAACAGG
Molecule: ribosomal RNA, 253 nt
Filed under: uncultured bacterium
Lineage: Bacteria
Description: partial 16S ribosomal RNA
Rfam family: Bacterial small subunit ribosomal RNA
Source: RNAcentral